ACGAACGCUGGCGGCGUGCUUAACACAUGCAAGUCGAACGGGAUUUAGUAAACAGAAGCCUCGGUGGAAGAUUACUAAUGAGAGUGGCGAACGGGUGAGUAACGCGUGAGCAACCUGCCUAUGACAGUGGGAUAGCCUCGGGAAACCGGGAUUAAUACCGCAUAAAAUCGUAGAAACACAUGUUUCAACGGUCAAAGAUUUAUCGGUCAUAGAUGGGCUCGCGUCUGAUUAGCUAGUUGGUGAGAUAACAGCCCACCAAGGCGACGAUCAG
RNAcentral lists this ribosomal RNA (271 nucleotides) under uncultured bacterium. RNAcentral's name for it is "partial 16S ribosomal RNA". It matches the Rfam family "Bacterial small subunit ribosomal RNA", at positions 29 to 283 of the family's 1533-position model. The record is from RNAcentral.